GGCAGAGGGAAUAUACAAUGGAGGACAUAUUGACACAACUGAAGAAAGAAAUGAUGUCAUCACAUAAUAGGAAGCUGGCACAGCCUCCUGAAGGAAAUGAAGAGGGAAGGACGGAACAAAAGGGGCUAGUCCUGAAAUGUUGUAUUCUUUGAUUCAGAUUUUGGCGAUGACUGAGGCGUACGGGGAUCAUCGGAUUGCAGUAUGCCAAAGCCUUGUACUUCACUUAGCCUUGUACUUCACUUAGCUCCGUUUAUAGCUCUUAACAUAGCAAUUUGAAUUUGGCAAGCUCUCAAAAAGCGAGCUUGGUUGUCUAAAGUAAAGAUGUGUCUUAUGUAUGGAUAAAUCUUAAAGUUGAUGGAUAUUCUCAUAAUGUUCUGC
Molecule: unclassified non-coding RNA, 378 nt
Filed under: Hevea brasiliensis (rubber tree)
Lineage: Eukaryota; Viridiplantae; Streptophyta; Magnoliopsida; Malpighiales; Euphorbiaceae
Source: RNAcentral